GUGUCAGCAGCCGCGGUAAGACGGAGGGUGCUAGCGUUGUUCGGAAUUACUGGGCGUAAAGGGCGCGUAGGCGGCUUUUCAAGUCGGAUGUGAAAGCCCGGGGCUCAACUCCGGAACGGCAUUCGAAACUGGAGGGCUGGAGGACGAGAGAGGAAAGUGGAAUACCCAGUGUAGAGGUGAAAUUCGUAGAUAUUGGGUGGAACACCGGUGGCGAAAGCGGCUUUCUGGCUCGUUUCUGACGCUGAGGCGCGAAAGCGUGGGGAGCAAACAGGAUUAGAUACCCUGGUAGUCCACGCCCUAAACGAUGUGUGCUAGAUGUCGGGGGACUUGUCCCUUGGUGUCGGAGCUAACGUGUUAAGCACACCGCCUGGGGAGUACGGUCGCAAGAUUAAAACUUAAAUGAAUUGACGGGG
Molecule: ribosomal RNA, 413 nt
Filed under: uncultured prokaryote
Description: bacterial SSU rRNA
Rfam family: Bacterial small subunit ribosomal RNA
Source: RNAcentral